Molecule: ribosomal RNA, 1537 nt
Filed under: Salmonella enterica subsp. enterica serovar Ohio
Lineage: Bacteria; Pseudomonadati; Pseudomonadota; Gammaproteobacteria; Enterobacterales; Enterobacteriaceae
Description: partial 23S ribosomal RNA
Rfam family: Bacterial large subunit ribosomal RNA
Source: RNAcentral
AGACCCGAAACCCGGUGAUCUAGCCAUGGGCAGGUUGAAGGUUGGGUAACACUAACUGGAGGACCGAACCGACUAAUGUUGAAAAAUUAGCGGAUGACCUGUGGCUGGGGGUGAAAGGCCAAUCAAACCGGGAGAUAGCUGGUUCUCCCCGAAAGCUAUUUAGGUAGCGCCUCGUGAAUUCAUCUCCGGGGGUAGAGCACUGUUUCGGCUAGGGGGCCAUCCCGGCUUACCAACCCGAUGCAAACUGCGAAUACCGGAGAAUGUUAUCACGGGAGACACACGGCGGGUGCUAACGUCCGUCGUGAAGAGGGAAACAACCCAGACCGCCAGCUAAGGUCCCAAAGUCAUGGUUAAGUGGGAAACGAUGUGGGAAGGCCCAGACAGCCAGGAUGUUGGCUUAGAAGCAGCCAUCAUUUAAAGAAAGCGUAAUAGCUCACUGGUCGAGUCGGCCUGCGCGGAAGAUGUAACGGGGCUAAACCAUGCACCGAAGCUGCGGCAGCGACGCUGAUGCGUUGUUGGGUAGGGGAGCGUUCUGUAAGCCUGCGAAGGUGGCCUGUGAGGGUUGCUGGAGGUAUCAGAAGUGCGAAUGCUGACAUAAGUAACGAUAAAGCGGGUGAAAAGCCCGCUCGCCGGAAGACCAAGGGUUCCUGUCCAACGUUAAUCGGGGCAGGGUGAGUCGACCCCUAAGGCGAGGCCGAAAGGCGUAGUCGAUGGGAAACGGGUUAAUAUUCCCGUACUUGGUGUUACUGCGAAGGGGGGACGGAGAAGGCUAUGUUGGCCGGGCGACGGUUGUCCCGGUUUAAGCGUGUAGGUGUGUGUUCCAGGUAAAUCCGGUUCACUUUAACACUGAGGCGUGAUGACGAGGCACUACGGUGCUGAAGCAACAAAUGCCCUGCUUCCAGGAAAAGCCUCUAAGCAUCAGGUAACAUCAAAUCGUACCCCAAACCGACACAGGUGGUCAGGUAGAGAAUACCAAGGCGCUUGAGAGAACUCGGGUGAAGGAACUAGGCAAAAUGGUGCCGUAACUUCGGGAGAAGGCACGCUGACACGUAGGUGAAGUGAUUUACUCAUGGAGCUGAAGUCAGUCGAAGAUACCAGCUGGCUGCAACUGUUUAUUAAAAACACAGCACUGUGCAAACACGAAAGUGGACGUAUACGGUGUGACGCCUGCCCGGUGCCGGAAGGUUAAUUGAUGGGGUCAGCGCAAGCGAAGCUCCUGAUCGAAGCCCCGGUAAACGGCGGCCGUAACUAUAACGGUCCUAAGGUAGCGAAAUUCCUUGUCGGGUAAGUUCCGACCUGCACGAAUGGCGUAAUGAUGGCCAGGCUGUCUCCACCCGAGACUCAGUGAAAUUGAACUCGCUGUGAAGAUGCAGUGUACCCGCGGCAAGACGGAAAGACCCCGUGAACCUUUACUAUAGCUUGACACUGAACAUUGAGCCUUGAUGUGUAGGAUAGGUGGGAGGCUUUGAAGUGUGGACGCCAGUCUGCAUGGAGCCGACCUUGAAAUACCACCCUUUAAUGUUUGAUGUUCUAACGU